RNAcentral lists this transfer RNA (67 nucleotides) under Marmota monax (woodchuck). Its description in RNAcentral is "tRNA.Ala". It matches the Rfam family "tRNA". Rfam says of the family: Transfer RNA (tRNA) molecules are approximately 80 nucleotides in length. Their secondary structure includes four short double-helical elements and three loops (D, anti-codon, and T loops). Lineage: Eukaryota; Metazoa; Chordata; Mammalia; Rodentia; Sciuridae. RNAcentral also lists the same sequence under 1 other name. The record is from RNAcentral.
GGUUGUAGCUCAGUGGUAGAGCGCUUGCCUAGCAUGUGUGAGGCACUGGGUUCAAUUCUCAGCACCA